RNAcentral lists this ribosomal RNA (486 nucleotides) under Actinomyces graevenitzii. RNAcentral describes it as "bacterial SSU rRNA". It matches the Rfam family "Bacterial small subunit ribosomal RNA", at positions 39 to 516 of the family's 1533-position model. The record is from RNAcentral. Lineage: Bacteria; Bacillati; Actinomycetota; Actinomycetes; Actinomycetales; Actinomycetaceae.
GCGGCGUGCUUAACACAUGCAAGUCGAACGAAAAUACCAAGCUUGCUUGGUUGAUUAGUGGCGAACGGGUGAGUAACACGUGAGUAACCUGCCCCUUACUUUCCUGGAUAACUGCUCGAAAGGGUAGCUAAUACGGGAUAUUCUGACCUGCCUGCAUGGGUUGGUUUGGAAAGGUUGUUUUUCUGGUAAGGGAUGGGCUCGCGGCCUAUCAGCUUGUUGGUGGGGUGAUGGCCUACCAAGGCUUUGACGGGUAGCCGGCCUGAGAGGGUGGACGGUCACACUGGGACUGAGAUACGGCCCAGACUCCUACGGGAGGCAGCAGUGGGGAAUAUUGCACAAUGGGCGCAAGCCUGAUGCAGCGACGCCGCGUGAGGGAUGAAGGCCUUCGGGUUGUAAACCUCUUUCGUCAGGGAACAAGGCACUGCUUUUUUGGUGGUGUUGAGGGUACCUGGAUAAGAAGCGCCGGCUAACUACGUGCCAGCAGCC